UACGUAGGUGGCAAGCGUUGUCCGGAUUUAUUGGGUUUAAAGGGUGCGUAGGCGGCCCUAUAAGUCAGUGCUGAAAUAUCCCGGCUUAACCGGGAGGGUGGCAUUGAUACUGUAGGGCUUGAGUAAAGUUGAGGUUGGCGGAAUUGACGGUGUAGCGGUGAAAUGCUUAGUUAUCGUCAAGAACACCUAUUGCGAAGGCAGCUAACUAAGCUUUAACUGACGCUGAGGCACGAAAGUGUGGGGAUCAAACAGG
This 253-nucleotide ribosomal RNA is filed under the name uncultured bacterium. Its description in RNAcentral is "partial 16S ribosomal RNA". It matches the Rfam family "Bacterial small subunit ribosomal RNA", at positions 524 to 776 of the family's 1533-position model. The record is from RNAcentral.